AUUCCAUGCAGUCGACGGCAGCAUAGGUGCUUGCACCUGAUGGCGAGUGGCGAACGGGUGAGUAAUGCAUCGGAACGUGCCCAGUCGUGGGGGAUAACGCAGCGAAAGCUGUGCUAAUACCGCAUACGAUCUAUGGAUGAAAGCGGGGGACCUUCGGGCCUCGCGCGAUUGGAGCGGCCGAUGUUAGAUUAGGUAGUUGGUGGGGUAAAGGCUCACCAAGCCGACGAUCUAUAGCUGGUCUGAGAGGACGACCAGCCACACUGGAACUGAGACACGGUCCAGACUCCUACGGGAGGCAGCAGUGGGGAAUUUUGGACAAUGGGCGAAAGCCUGAUCCAGCAAUACCGCGUGCAGGAAGAAGGCCUUCGGGUUGUAAACUGCUUUUGUACGGAACGAAACGGCGUGCUCUAAUAAAGUGCGCUAAUGACGGUACCGUAAGAAUAAGCACCGGCUAACUACGUGCCAGCCGCCCGGGGUU
RNAcentral lists this ribosomal RNA (478 nucleotides) under Comamonadaceae bacterium enrichment culture clone PSHTC-001. RNAcentral describes it as "bacterial SSU rRNA". It matches the Rfam family "Bacterial small subunit ribosomal RNA", at positions 50 to 522 of the family's 1533-position model. Lineage: Bacteria; Pseudomonadati; Pseudomonadota; Betaproteobacteria; Burkholderiales; Comamonadaceae. The record is from RNAcentral.